Molecule: ribosomal RNA, 290 nt
Filed under: uncultured bacterium
Lineage: Bacteria
Description: partial 16S ribosomal RNA
Rfam family: Bacterial small subunit ribosomal RNA
Source: RNAcentral
AACGAACGCUGGCGGCAGGCUUAACACAUGCAAGUCGAACGAGAAGCUUUCCUUCGGGAAAGUGGAAAGUGGCAGACGGGUGAGUAACGCGUGGGAACCUACCUAGUGGUACGGAAUAACUCAGGGAAACUUGUGCUAAUACCGUAUGAGCCCUUCGGGGGAAAGAUUUAUCGCCAUUAGAUGGGCCCGCGUCAGAUUAGCUAGUUGGUGAGGUAACGGCUCACCAAGGCGACGAUCUGUAGCUGGUCUGAGAGGAUGAUCAGCCACACUGGGACUGAGACACGGCCCAG